GCGCCCGUAGCUCAAUUGGAUAGAGCGUCUGACUACGAAUCAGGAGGUUGGGAGUUCGAGUCUCUCCGGGCGCACCA
This 77-nucleotide transfer RNA is filed under the name Rhodospirillales bacterium. RNAcentral describes it as "tRNA-Arg". It matches the Rfam family "tRNA". From Rfam's summary of the family: Transfer RNA (tRNA) molecules are approximately 80 nucleotides in length. Their secondary structure includes four short double-helical elements and three loops (D, anti-codon, and T loops). Further hydrogen bonds mediate the characteristic L-shaped molecular structure. tRNAs have two regions of fundamental functional importance: the anti-codon, which is responsible for specific mRNA codon recognition, and the 3' end, to which the tRNAs corresponding amino acid is attached (by aminoacyl-tRNA synthetases). tRNAs cope with the degeneracy of the genetic code in two manners: having more than one tRNA (with a specific anti-codon) for a particular amino acid; and 'wobble' base-pairing, i.e. permitting non-standard base-pairing at the 3rd anti-codon position. The record is from RNAcentral. Lineage: Bacteria; Pseudomonadati; Pseudomonadota; Alphaproteobacteria; Rhodospirillales.